GUGCGGGGAGGAGUUUGAGAUGGGAGGCGCUUGCAGGGGCUCCCCCAGUUCUGCGCUGUGAGCCGGGGCACAAAGAGCCCUCUGCACUAGCGCCGCAGGACCGCGGACCCGAGUUGGAGGCAUCUGUCCACCCAUGUGGUUCCAGACACGUUCAUGUGGCCACCAUGACCCCGUCGGCAUCACAGGAGUAACCAAGGUCCACAGAGCGAGGGGAAAGGGUCACUGUGGAUCAAGCCAGGCUCCUCUGAGCAGUCCAGGAUCUAUUUACAGAGAGCAGCAAGUUCCUGGGACAGAGGAGACAGAAGGGAAUUUCCAGGUUCUUCAGGACGUUCACAACCACACUGAGAAGCAUCUUUGCAGAUAAGUAUUUAAACUUACCAGCCCAUAGCCUACCAGCCUGCCCUCUUCUGGUCUGUGCAGGAAAGUGUAGUAUCCUAGAAUACCAAAGUGGGAGGGGAAAUGGGUGAUGUAGCUCAUUCUCUUUUCUACCUCUAUGGAAGAAAGAAAGAGCCUGUCCCCAUUUUGUGGGGUCCCAGAAAGGGUGAUUUUCACACUUCACAUUUGGCAUUAGGGCUAGUAUUUUACAAACAUUACCGUCUGGAACUUUUGAAGGCUGAGUUAAAUGACUUCAUCUUGUGUACUUGUAGAACUGCUAUUAGAAGGAGGCUGGGACUCCCUGAUGAUGUGAACCAGCCCUUCUCUUCUCAGUUUCAGCACUUUGUGAUCAUAUUUAUAAACCUUAGACAGGGCUCCUUGGCCUUACAGUUAAGUGAAGAGUUAACACUGUGACUUUAGAUGCAUUUUUCUCAGUGCAAGUGUCUGAGCUCAUCUCCAGUUCUGGACUCGUGCCCCCACUCCCAGGUGCUGACAGCAAGCUCUGAAGAUAUGCUGAGAGAGCUCCCUGACUCUCCUGACUCAGGUCUGCCAGUUGAUGAAGACAGCACAGUUGUUACCAAAAACAAAACCUGGCAGAUGGUCCUAGGUCAGGAUUAGUGGUCAUUCUCUGGUCUUCUCCAGACUGGUGACACAGGGUGGUCUUAAAAGAGUCCUAGUCCAGCCUCUGGCUCCCCGAAUUUCCUCUGGUGCAUGGGGCAUCAGGAAAGGGCAGGGGAGAAGGAGGGGGAGCAGAAAAAUAACUGAGGCUGGGCAGAAGGGUCCCUUCCAUUUCCCAUCCAUUGCUUCAAACAAUGGGUGAUUACCGUGCACCUUGAGUGAAUGUCCAGGCAGGAAGGGUUCCAGGGCCACCCAGUGUGGCAGGAGCAGAGCUGGGAUCAGAAUUCUGGAUUCCUGACUCUCCGUUCAGCUGCUAUUCAGCUAUCACCAAGCUGCUGAGUUUGUCCUACUUUCUCCUGGGUCACAUUCUGCUGUUGUUGGGAAACAGGGAGUGAGUGAAGGGAACCUGGGAACCCUUCUCCCCUCACCUUUUAAGGAUGUUCUGGGGUGGAAUAAAGAGAGGUGGAGGGUGGGGUGCCUGGGCCCAGCCUCCCUGGCUCCUGGUCCUUCUUUCUUCAGCAGGGAGUUCUGGCAAGGCCUGGGCCUGGGGAGGGGGCCUGGGUGCAGUUUUCUCCUGCGGUGUGGUUGGCUCUUUUGUCUUCCAGGAUGGGCCUGUGGGGUCUGUGUGGGGAAGGAAGGAGCUGGGAGCCUGGGCUGCCUGUGUGUCGGCUGGAUGCUGCCAGCACCGGCAAGGACCAAGCAACUUCUCUGAGCCAGAUGCUGGGGACGCAGAGGUGAACCCAGAGACAUGAUCCCAUCUGCUCAGAUCUUCAUGUCAGAAC
This 1775-nucleotide long non-coding RNA is filed under the name Pan troglodytes (chimpanzee). RNAcentral's name for it is "long non-coding RNA NONPTRT009566". The stretch from base 1 to 114 matches the Rfam family "Myocardial infarction associated transcript exon 1", at positions 22 to 135 of the family's 135-position model. Lineage: Eukaryota; Metazoa; Chordata; Mammalia; Primates; Hominidae. The record is from RNAcentral.